RNAcentral lists this ribosomal RNA (411 nucleotides) under uncultured microorganism. RNAcentral's name for it is "bacterial SSU rRNA". It matches the Rfam family "Archaeal small subunit ribosomal RNA", at positions 330 to 745 of the family's 1478-position model. The record is from RNAcentral.
GUGCACCAGGCGCGAAUACUUUACAAUGUGCGAAGGCACGAUAAGGGAACUCUGAGUGCCUCCUAAGGAGGCUGUUCUGAUGUCUAAAAAGCAACAGAAGUAAGGGCUGGGUAAGACCGGUGCCAGCCGCCGCGGUAACACCGGCAGCCCAAGUGGUAGCCACGUUUAUUGGGUCUAAAGCGUUCGUAGCCGGCCAGGUAAGUUCCUUGGUAAAUUUAGCCGCUUAACGGUUAAGCUUUCAGGGAAUACUGCUUGGCUUGGGACUGGGAGAGGUCAGAGGUACUCCGGGGGUAGGGGUGGAAAUCUAUUAAUCCCUGGGGGACCACCGGUAGCGAAGGCGUCUGACCAGACCAGGUCCGACGGUGAGGGACGAAGGCUAGGGGCGCGAACCGGAUUAGAUACCCCUGUAGU